This 903-nucleotide long non-coding RNA is filed under the name Homo sapiens (human). RNAcentral describes it as "novel transcript". The record is from RNAcentral. Lineage: Eukaryota; Metazoa; Chordata; Mammalia; Primates; Hominidae.
ACCAGCUGGCGUCACUCGCAGGCUCCAGACGCCGCCAUUUCGCCAAGCCGAGGUCUCUUGGUUGCGGCACUGCUUCUGGCUCGGUGCCUGUAUUUUCUCGGUGCCUACAGCGCCCAGGUCGCCGAUCUGAGGGCUUCGGAGUACCGGCCGGGCGCGGUGGCUCACGCCUGUAAUCCCAGCACUUUGGGAGGCCGAGGCGGGCGGAUCAGGAGGUCAGGAGAUCGAGACCAUCCUGGCUAACACGGGCUUUGACUCCUGAGUCUAAAAAGGUCACUAACUCCCGCUAAAUUGAGAGCAAUUGAAGCCUCAUCUUCAGAUCUAGGAGAAGAUGAAAAUCAGAAUAAGCUGCAGUCAUGAGACAUGGCGCCAGAAAUUAAGACUAUUCAAACCCUCUAGUCCCAGGGACUAUUGAAGAAGAAGUGGAUAAGGUCUAGAUCUGUCACCCAGGCUGGAGUACAGUGGCAUAGUCCUAGCUCACUGCAACCUCCACCUCCCAGGCUCAAGUGAUCCUACCACCUCAGCCUCCUAAGAAGCUGGGACUAUAGAUGUGCACCAACACGCAUGGCUAAUUUUUGUAUUUUUUGUAGACACCGUGUUUCGCCAUGUUGCCCAGGCUGGUCUCAAACUCCUGAGCUCAAGCAGUCUGCCUGCCUAGACCGCCCAAAGUGCUGAGUUUACAGGUGCGAGCCACCACAGCCAGCCUAUAAAGUAAACGUGAAUAUCUAAGGAACACUGAUGCAAGACCAGCAUGUGGGACCCCAUGUAAGAUUAACAAUGUUUUCAUGGAUCAUUAACCCAUUCUUAUUAAAAAAAUUAUGAAAGAUUAUGAAAAGGUUUACAAAAGUUGUAUCUUAUGGUCAAGAUGAUUAAAAUUUAUUAGAUUUGUCUAUAAUAUCUGAGAAA